Molecule: ribosomal RNA, 2952 nt
Filed under: Bacillus cereus
Lineage: Bacteria; Bacillati; Bacillota; Bacilli; Caryophanales; Bacillaceae
Description: 23S ribosomal RNA
Rfam family: Bacterial large subunit ribosomal RNA
Source: RNAcentral
AGUGUAGCUCAUAUUUUUUAAUUUUAGUUUGGUUAAGUUAGAAAGGGCGCACGGUGGAUGCCUUGACACUAGGAGUCGAUGAAGGACGGGACUAACGCCGAUAUGCUUCGGGGAGCUGUAAGUAAGCUUUGAUCCGAAGAUUUCCGAAUGGGGAAACCCACCAUACGUAAUGGUAUGGUAUCCUUAUCUGAAUACAUAGGGUAAGGAAGACAGACCCAGGGAACUGAAACAUCUAAGUACCUGGAGGAAGAGAAAGCAAAUGCGAUUUCCUGAGUAGCGGCGAGCGAAACGGAACAUAGCCCAAACCAAGAGGCUUGCCUCUUGGGGUUGUAGGACAUUCUAUACGGAGUUACAAAGGAACGAGGUAGACGAAGCGACCUGGAAAGGUCCGUCGUAGAGGGUAACAACCCCGUAGUCGAAACUUCGUUCUCUCUUGAAUGUAUCCUGAGUACGGCGGAACACGUGAAAUUCCGUCGGAAUCUGGGAGGACCAUCUCCCAAGGCUAAAUACUCCCUAGUGAUCGAUAGUGAACCAGUACCGUGAGGGAAAGGUGAAAAGCACCCCGGAAGGGGAGUGAAAGAGAUCCUGAAACCGUGUGCCUACAAAUAGUCAGAGCCCGUUAACGGGUGAUGGCGUGCCUUUUGUAGAAUGAACCGGCGAGUUACGAUCCCGUGCGAGGUUAAGCUGAAGAGGCGGAGCCGCAGCGAAAGCGAGUCUGAAUAGGGCGUUUAGUACGUGGUCGUAGACCCGAAACCAGGUGAUCUACCCAUGUCCAGGGUGAAGUUCAGGUAACACUGAAUGGAGGCCCGAACCCACGCACGUUGAAAAGUGCGGGGAUGAGGUGUGGGUAGCGGAGAAAUUCCAAUCGAACCUGGAGAUAGCUGGUUCUCCCCGAAAUAGCUUUAGGGCUAGCCUUAAGUGUAAGAGUCUUGGAGGUAGAGCACUGAUUGGACUAGGGGUCCUCAUCGGAUUACCGAAUUCAGUCAAACUCCGAAUGCCAAUGACUUAUCCUUAGGAGUCAGACUGCGAGUGAUAAGAUCCGUAGUCAAAAGGGAAACAGCCCAGACCGCCAGCUAAGGUCCCAAAGUGUGUAUUAAGUGGAAAAGGAUGUGGAGUUGCUUAGACAACUAGGAUGUUGGCUUAGAAGCAGCCACCAUUUAAAGAGUGCGUAAUAGCUCACUAGUCGAGUGACUCUGCGCCGAAAAUGUACCGGGGCUAAAUACACCACCGAAGCUGCGGAUUGAUACCAAUGGUAUCAGUGGUAGGGGAGCGUUCUAAGGACAGUGAAGUCAGACCGUAAGGACUGGUGGAGUGCUUAGAAGUGAGAAUGCCGGUAUGAGUAGCGAAAGACGGGUGAGAAUCCCGUCCACCGAAUGCCUAAGGUUUCCUGAGGAAGGCUCGUCCGCUCAGGGUUAGUCAGGACCUAAGCCGAGGCCGACAGGCGUAGGCGAUGGACAACAGGUUGAUAUUCCUGUACCACCUCUUUAUCGUUUGAGCAAUGGAGGGACGCAGAAGGAUAGAAGAAGCGUGCGAUUGGUUGUGCACGUCCAAGCAGUUAGGUUGAUAAGUAGGCAAAUCCGCUUAUCGUAAAGGCUGAGCUGUGAUGGGGAAGCUCCUUAUGGAGCGAAGUCUUUGAUUCCCCGCUGCCAAGAAAAGCUUCUAGCGAGAUAAAAGGUGCCUGUACCGCAAACCGACACAGGUAGGCGAGGAGAGAAUCCUAAGGUGUGCGAGAGAACUCUGGUUAAGGAACUCGGCAAAAUGACCCCGUAACUUCGGGAGAAGGGGUGCUUUCUUAACGGAAAGCCGCAGUGAAUAGGCCCAAGCGACUGUUUAGCAAAAACACAGCUCUCUGCGAAGCCGUAAGGCGAAGUAUAGGGGGUGACACCUGCCCGGUGCUGGAAGGUUAAGGAGAGGGGUUAGCGUAAGCGAAGCUCUGAACUGAAGCCCCAGUAAACGGCGGCCGUAACUAUAACGGUCCUAAGGUAGCGAAAUUCCUUGUCGGGUAAGUUCCGACCCGCACGAAAGGUGUAACGAUUUGGGCACUGUCUCAACCAGAGACUCGGUGAAAUUAUAGUACCUGUGAAGAUGCAGGUUACCCGCGACAGGACGGAAAGACCCCGUGGAGCUUUACUGUAGCCUGAUAUUGAAUUUUGGUACAGUUUGUACAGGAUAGGCGGGAGCCAUUGAAACCGGAGCGCUAGCUUCGGUGGAGGCGCUGGUGGGAUACCGCCCUGACUGUAUUGAAAUUCUAACCUACGGGUCUUAUCGACCCGGGAGACAGUGUCAGGUGGGCAGUUUGACUGGGGCGGUCGCCUCCUAAAGUGUAACGGAGGCGCCCAAAGGUUCCCUCAGAAUGGUUGGAAAUCAUUCGUAGAGUGCAAAGGCAUAAGGGAGCUUGACUGCGAGACCUACAAGUCGAGCAGGGACGAAAGUCGGGCUUAGUGAUCCGGUGGUUCCGCAUGGAAGGGCCAUCGCUCAACGGAUAAAAGCUACCCCGGGGAUAACAGGCUUAUCUCCCCCAAGAGUCCACAUCGACGGGGAGGUUUGGCACCUCGAUGUCGGCUCAUCGCAUCCUGGGGCUGUAGUCGGUCCCAAGGGUUGGGCUGUUCGCCCAUUAAAGCGGUACGCGAGCUGGGUUCAGAACGUCGUGAGACAGUUCGGUCCCUAUCCGUCGUGGGCGUAGGAAAUUUGAGAGGAGCUGUCCUUAGUACGAGAGGACCGGGAUGGACGCACCGCUGGUGUACCAGUUGUUCUGCCAAGGGCAUAGCUGGGUAGCUAUGUGCGGAAGGGAUAAGUGCUGAAAGCAUCUAAGCAUGAAGCCCCCCUCAAGAUGAGAUUUCCCAUAGCGUAAGCUAGUAAGAUCCCUGAAAGAUGAUCAGGUUGAUAGGUUCGAGGUGGAAGCAUGGUGACAUGUGGAGCUGACGAAUACUAAUAGAUCGAGGACUUAACCAU